Molecule: long non-coding RNA, 445 nt
Organism: Anas platyrhynchos (mallard)
Lineage: Eukaryota; Metazoa; Chordata; Aves; Anseriformes; Anatidae
Source: RefSeq, a predicted model, not a curated record
GUUUAGUGGGUCAUGUUGGGGGUAGAGGGCUCUUUGGAUCACAUGAUCUUGGAGGACUUUUCCAGCUUUAGUGAUUCUAUGAUUCUAAGGCUUGGAAACACUGAUGAGGGACUGGCCAAAGAUCCAAACAUCCUGUUUUAGUGUCUGUACCACCUAGGAAGAAAUUUAUGAAAUGUUCUGGUCCUGCUGCUUUCCAGUUGUUUGGGCAUCAGGGAAAUAUGAAACUAAGUCAGUUGGAUGCUGUAAGUCUUCUUUUCCUGUUGACUCUGGCACAAAACUACAUACUUUGGGUCUGGAAAACUGAGAUGUUCUCCCUGCUAACUCAGAGAUAGUGAACAUAAAACUGCUCGAAUGCAUGCCAGAACUGUACUGCUAGAUUUUUACAACCAGCCAGCCUAUCAUCAAUGACUUUGAGAGGAAACCUCUGCAGGGACUGCAAGCCAAG